Long non-coding RNA from Felis catus (domestic cat), 576 nucleotides. RefSeq lists it as uncharacterized. The record is from RefSeq and is a predicted model, not a curated record. Lineage: Eukaryota; Metazoa; Chordata; Mammalia; Carnivora; Felidae. The transcript is spliced from 2 exons.
GAGGCAACACCACUCUACACUCUCUAAGCAUGAAAUGAUAGGUUUUGCUAUUUUAUAAGGUUGUAGUAGGGAGAAAAUGAGAUAGUGUGAACGCGCUGUGAAAUCUGUAAAGUACGUAUAGGCAUGUUAAUUGUCACUUAUUGACAGUGAAAUUUUAUUGAGCACUUAUUAUGUAUCAUGCAUGGGGCAUGCAAAGAAAUGCUUCCAUCUUGGAGAGAUGGAGAAGGAACUCGCAACCUACUUAAAACUAAAUUGAGCAGGAAAAAAAGAGAACCACGUAUGGAUACAAAAGAGCUGCAGUAUUCUAAAGGUGUUGGGGGGAAGCUUCAAGGAACUGAGUCUUGAAGAGUAAGAAGUGUGUGCCAGAUCAAUGCACGGACUACCACAAAAGCAGAAGGAAAUCUGUCACUGCAGACCUUAUCAGAAGCCAGGAUCCGGAAGGAGGCAAUGACCUGCUCGGCCGUGUCCGUGUCCGCCGUCUCUCUAGUCAUAAAGUCGAUGAAGGACUGGAAGGUGACGGUGCCCUGUCCAUUGGGAUCCACCAGGGUCAUGAUGCGGGCAAAUUCAGCUUCGCCC